RNAcentral lists this ribosomal RNA (446 nucleotides) under uncultured bacterium. RNAcentral's name for it is "SSU rRNA". It matches the Rfam family "Bacterial small subunit ribosomal RNA", at positions 26 to 518 of the family's 1533-position model. The record is from RNAcentral.
AGAACGAACGCUGGCGGCAGGCCUCAAACAUGCAAGUCUAGGGGGUGUAGCAAUACAUCACCGGCGGACGGGUGCGUAACACGUGGGAAUAUACCUUUUGGUUCGGAACAACGCAGGGAAACUUGCGCUAAUACCGAAUGUGUCCUUACGGAGAAAGAUUUAUCGCCAAAGGAUUAGCCCGCGUCCGAUUAGCUAGUUGGUGAGGUAAUGGCUCACCAAGGCGACGAUCAGUAGCUGGUCUGAGAGGAUGAUCAGCCACACUGGGACUGAGACACGGCCCAGACUCCUACGGGAGGCAGCAGUAGGGAAUCUUGCGCAAUGGGCGAAAGCCUGACGCAGCCAUGCCGCGUGAAUGAUGAAGGUCUUAGGAUUGUAAAAUUCUUUCAGCGGGACGAUAAUGACGGUACCCGCAGAAGACGCCCGGCUAACUUCGUGCCAGCAGCCGC